GGCAGGUUGAACCACAGAGUUUCCUUGGUGGUCAAUGGUUCUCCUUCCAAAUCUGAAUACAGAGGAGGGAAGGAGUCUGUUAACCCUAGCAAAUGCUGGAGAUACCAGCACUUAAUUACAGCACCGGAGUUCCUUGCAUUAAGUUGUGUAAAGGCUCUCCAGCUGUAUAUAGAAGCACCUAUUCAUAUUGUUAGCAAUUAUAUUGCAUGCAUACUCGUGUAUUUGCAGUUUAAAAUCAGUAUACGUGUGUGUAUAAAUAUAUAUAUACACACAUAUAUACUAAAAUAGUGUUUUAACAGUAUGUUUUGUUUUUUUCCUGCGACAAUCAGCCUUCAUUGCUGUGGGAACGGUUCUUGUUAAUCUGCAAAGAUGCUGUAUUCCUGCCUUUACAUUCCAAUUUCCAUGAGCUUUAUUUACAUCAUUACCAUCAUCAAACUGAACCCUAAAUUACCUAGUUUCUUUUUUCCCCCCUCUCUGCACUUUUUAAUUGCUAGUUGAUGAGGCUUGCAUUAUGUGAUGUCCUCGCUGUGAGGUACGUUUAGUACUACACUAUUUUCUGAUGCCUCAUUUGAUAUAAAGGUGCAAUAUUAUGAUCUAAAAUUUUCCAACAUUUAACUUUUUUUUUUUUAAAUACCCAUUUAUGACUCAUAGAUCAGGGAAAUACAGAAACAUGAAGGCAUGUGAGGUGUGAAACAUGAAGGCAUGCACUGGUACUUAACAAAUUAUAUUGUGCGUGUAUAUACACACACAAUCACAAUAUUCUGCACUCACUGGCUUAGAAAUGUAAAUGCUACAGUGCUAUUCUGGUC
Molecule: non-coding RNA, 809 nt
Organism: Pelobates cultripes (western spadefoot toad)
Lineage: Eukaryota; Metazoa; Chordata; Amphibia; Anura; Pelobatidae
Source: the annotation of a GenBank genome assembly